GCCCUUAUAGCUCAGUGGUAGAGCGUUGCACUUGUAUUACAUAAGCAAUUACAUGCAAAGGUCGGUUGUUCAAUCCAGCCUGGGGGCA
This is a non-coding RNA of Coniochaeta pulveracea, 88 nucleotides long. The record is from the annotation of a GenBank genome assembly. Lineage: Eukaryota; Fungi; Ascomycota; Sordariomycetes; Coniochaetales; Coniochaetaceae.